GAUGAACGCUGGCGGCGUGCUUAAUACAUGCAAGUCGAGCGAACGGACGCGACGCUUGCUUCUCUGAUGUUAGCGGCGGACGGGUGAGUAACACGUGGAUCCCCUCCCUAUAUGACUGGGAUAACUUCGGGAAACGGGCGCUAACACCGGAUAAUAUUUUGAACCGCAUGGUUCAAAAGUGAAAGACGGUUUUGCUGUCACUUAUAGAUGGAUCCGCGCUGCAUUAGCUAGUUGGUAAGGUAACGGCGUACCAAGGCAACGAUGCAUAGCCGACCUGAGAGCGUGAUCGGCCGCACGGGAACUGAGACACGGUCCAGACGCCUACGGGAGGCAGCAGUAGGGCAGCGGCCGCAAUGGGCGAAAGCCUGACGGAGCAACGCCGCGUGAGUGAUGAAGGUCUUCGGAUCGUAAAACUCUGUUAUUAGGGAAGAACAUAUGUAUAAGUAACUGUGCACAUCUUGAGGGUACCUAAUCAGAAAGCCACGGCUAACUACGUG
This 497-nucleotide ribosomal RNA is filed under the name uncultured bacterium. RNAcentral describes it as "partial 16S ribosomal RNA". It matches the Rfam family "Bacterial small subunit ribosomal RNA", at positions 28 to 507 of the family's 1533-position model. The record is from RNAcentral.